AGAUUGAACGCUGGCGGCAUGCCUAACACAUGCAAGUCGAACGGCAGCGCGGGUAGCAAUACCUGGCGGCGAGUGGCGGACGGGUGAGGAAUACAUAGGAAUCUACCCUGUCGUGGGGGAUAACGUAGGGAAACUUACGCUAAUACCGCAUACGACCGAGAGGUGAAAGCGGCGGACCGCAAGGCGUCGCGCGGCUGGAUGAGCCUAUGUCCGAUUAGCUAGUUGGCGGGGUAAGACGCCCACCAAGGCGACGAUCGGUAGCUGGUCUGAGAGGAUGAUCAGCCACACUGGGACUGAGACACGGCCCAGACUCCUACGGGAGCAGCAGUGGGAAUA
This 336-nucleotide ribosomal RNA is filed under the name uncultured soil bacterium. Its description in RNAcentral is "bacterial SSU rRNA". It matches the Rfam family "Bacterial small subunit ribosomal RNA", at positions 26 to 363 of the family's 1533-position model. The record is from RNAcentral.